AAGGAAAGGGUCAGAGCAUUUGAUUAAGCAAGGAGAGAGAAACCUAGAGAGAGAAAAAUUCAGCAACUCAAGACCACCGAUCAUCGCUUUCGACGAUGGGGCUUCGAUUCUUCUCAGCGUCCGAGGUUGUGGAAGAUGACUUUCCCAUCGUCACAUUUAUCAGAAUGGUAAACCUUCACAAAUUCUAGCAGUUGAAGUUGAGCCUCAAGGAUGCUCUUUUAAUCCAGAGGAUAAGAGUAACAAGGACUCCUUGGCACAAGCUGUUGCAGAAGAGAUGAAGAAAAUUUAUAAAAAAGAGCUGAAGCCUGAGCCAAUUCCUUUAACUGUUCCUGGAGAACCAGUCACUGAAGAUGAUAAAUAUUUUCUGGAAGUGGACAAUGAAGACGAUGAGGAAAUGGACGAGGAAAAUCAAACUGAAGAUGGGAAUAUCGAAGAUGAAAAAAGUUACUGAGGAUGAAGUGGAUCUUUAAUAUGACUUAUUCAAUAAACUCAGCAACUCUGUUGUCAAAGAUGGUUUUAUUCAAAAGGAAGAACUUCAACUUGCAUUAUUUAAGAAUAGUAUGAAGAAAAGCCUUUUUCUUGACAGAAUGUUUGAUCUCUUUGAUGUCAACCACAAUGGAUGCAUUGAGUUUGGAGAGUUUGUUCGAUCAUUGAGUGUCUUUCACCCUAGAACUCCUGACAAAGAUAAAAUGAAGUGUAAGCGAUACCAUAACUUAUAUUUAAGCCCGAAGUUCCUAGAUAGCUCAAUAACUUGUUUUGCAGUAAAUUUAAAGGGUUGUUUAGUGAACUAAGCUGGUUUUUGCAAAAAACUUUGGUUAAACCAUUUCUUCUUUUGAUUAUGUCUACGUUGAUUUCCACGCUCCUUAGUGUGGUCACUGCAAGCGUCUCUCUCCUGAGGUAUCCCACUUCAUUUUUUGGAUUGAAUUGAAUGAUUAUAAGUUUUCUAUAUGAUUGAGUUUUGAUUUUGGGUUAAAUUGAAUGAUUAUAAGUUUAUUAGCUGAUAAAGUUUUGAUUUUUUGAUUAUAUUAUAUGCUUUUUGGGUGAUAAAGUUUUGAACUUUUGAUUUUUAUGCUUCUUGGAUUAUAAACUACUUUUGAUUAUAAUUGUUUUCUUGGAUGAUAAAGUUUUGAUCUUUUUGAUUUGGCUUUGCAACUAUUCUGGGUUGUCUUUGGUCUUCCUUCUAAUGUUGAGCCUUCACUACCAGGAGCGUGUGAUAGGUUUGAGCCUUUUUCUCUUCUCUGCUUACCUCAUUAUAAGUUAAGUGUUCUACAUUGGUAACUUUUGAGUUGCUACUUGUUGGUACAUAAUUGGCAUGCUUUGUCACUUUAGAAAGAAUAAUUACCAGUGAAUGUCAACAUGUAAACUGAUGAUCCUGAAAUUUCUUUUGCUAAAGUAAAGGUCUUUAUAUUGGCUUCUAAUCCAUGGAUGAUGAUGUUUAGGAAUCUAGGGCAUCCCUCCCUUUCUACACAUACCCCACCACCACCACCACCACCACCAGUCCACCACAGUAAGAUAAGUCUUGAUAGUGUAACCAUUUGAAGCGACUUUUCAAAUAUUGGUACAACUCUAUUGGCAUACACUAGAAAUCAAAGUUUCUCUGAUCAAAAUGAAAAGUAGUGCCUGAUCUUUUUCCGUACUUACUAUCUCUUUUUUGUUUACAACAGGCUUUGUCUUGCUUUCAUGGGUAGAACAUGGAGGCUGGUUCAUUCAUUGGGAACUCUUAUCUUAAAUGUCAGUCUGCAUUAUUUCAUCUCAUCAUAUUGCAGAUGCUGAUAGUUGGCCAAAAGCUUAUGAGUGUAUAUCUUGCAGUUAUUUAGAUACUAUAUUAUGACUGCUGUUAUGCUCUUAAACUAAGCUAAAAUUUUGUAGAGUUGGUGGAUUUGCACUUGCAAGUUAAUGCCAAGUACAUUAAGAUUAAGACUUUGUUGUUGACCUUUGAACUAUGCGUCUAUAUGUUUUCCAUUUCUAUACAACUAUACAAGUAUAUAUGAAAUAUAUAUUUGUAAUCUUUGAACUGUAUUUUUAUCCGGGACAAAGGUCCUGACCGUGGAACAUGAAUAUGAUUUUCAGUACUUGGUGGACUGCUGGUAGAUGUAUAAACACUAUGAAGUGCUAAACUUCUUUAUUGUGUACUUUGUCUCUGAAGAGCUUAGUAAUUUUUUAUUGAACAAUUGAGGA
Long non-coding RNA from Chenopodium quinoa (quinoa), 2178 nucleotides. RefSeq lists it as uncharacterized. The record is from RefSeq and is a predicted model, not a curated record. The transcript has 7 exons. Lineage: Eukaryota; Viridiplantae; Streptophyta; Magnoliopsida; Caryophyllales; Amaranthaceae.